This 585-nucleotide ribosomal RNA is filed under the name uncultured bacterium. Its description in RNAcentral is "bacterial SSU rRNA". It matches the Rfam family "Bacterial small subunit ribosomal RNA", at positions 338 to 916 of the family's 1533-position model. The record is from RNAcentral.
CCUACGGGAGGCAGCAGUGGGGAAUUUUGGACAAUGGGCGAAAGCCUGAUCCAGCAAUGCCGCGUGCAGGAAGAAGGCCUUCGGGUUGUAAACUGCUUUUGUACGGAACGAAAAGGUCUGCCCUAAUACGGCGGGCUCAUGACGGUACCGUAAGAAUAAGCACCGGCUAACUACGUGCCAGCAGCCGCGGUAAUACGUAGGGUGCGAGCGUUAAUCGGAAUUACUGGGCGUAAAGCGUGCGCAGGCGGUUAUAUAAGACAGUUGUGAAAUCCCCGGGCUCAACUUGGGAAUUGCAUCUGUGACUGUAUAGCUAGAGUACGGUAGAGGGGGAUGGAAUUCCGCGUGUAGCAGUGAAAUGCGUAGAUAUGCGGAGGAACACCGAUGGCGAAGGCAAUCCCCUGGACCUGUACUGACGCUCAUGCACGAAAGCGUGGGGAGCAAACAGGAUUAGAUACCCUGGUAGUCCACGCCCUAAACGAUGUCAACUGGUUGUUGGGCGCAUUAGUACUCAGUAACGAAGCUAACGCGUGAAGUUGACCGCCUGGGGAGUACGGCCGCAAGGUUGAAACUCAAAUGAAUUGACGG